This 441-nucleotide ribosomal RNA is filed under the name uncultured bacterium. RNAcentral's name for it is "partial 16S ribosomal RNA". It matches the Rfam family "Bacterial small subunit ribosomal RNA", at positions 338 to 795 of the family's 1533-position model. The record is from RNAcentral.
CCUACGGGUGGCAGCAGUAGGGAAUAUUGCGCAAUGGGGGAAACCCGGACGCAGCAACGCCGCGUGAUAGAUGAAGACCUUCGGGGUGUAAAGAUCUGUCAGUGGGGACGAAACCUGACGGUACCCACAGAGGAAGCACCGGCUAACUCCGUGCCAGCAGCCGCCGUAAUACGGGGGGUGCAAGCGUUGUCCGGAAUCAUUGGGCGUAAAGGGUUCGUAGGUGGCUCUUUAAGUCUGGUGUGAAAUGCGGAAGCCCAACUUCCGUAGGGCACUGGAUACUGGCGAGCUUGAAUGCGGUAGAGGUAAAGGGAAUUCCUGGUGUAGCGGUGAAAUGCGUAGAUAUCAGGAGGAACAUCGGGGGCGUAAGCGCUUUACUGGGCCGUAAUUGACACUGAGGAACGAAAGCCGGGGUAGCAAAUGGGAUUAGAUACCCCUGUAGUC